UGGGGAAUUUUGGACAAUGGGCGCAAGCCUGAUCCAGCCAUGCCGCGUGCGGGAAGAAGGCCUUCGGGUUGUAAACCGCUUUUGUCAGGGAAGAAAUCUUCUGAGUUAAUACCUCGGGAGGAUGACGGUACCUGAAGAAUAAGCACCGGCUAACUACGUGCCAGCAGCCGCGGUAAUACGUAGGGUGCAAGCGUUAAUCGGAAUUACUGGGCGUAAAGCGUGCGCAGGCGGUUUUGUAAGACAGAGGUGAAAUCCCCGGGCUCAACCUGGGAACUGCCUUUGUGACUGCAAGGCUUGAGUGCGGCAGAGGGGGAUGGGAUUCCGCGUGUAGCAGUGAGAUGCGUAGAUAUGCGGAGGAA
Molecule: ribosomal RNA, 359 nt
Filed under: uncultured bacterium
Lineage: Bacteria
Description: partial 16S ribosomal RNA
Rfam family: Bacterial small subunit ribosomal RNA
Source: RNAcentral